RNAcentral lists this ribosomal RNA (706 nucleotides) under bacterium SL4.27. RNAcentral describes it as "bacterial SSU rRNA". It matches the Rfam family "Bacterial small subunit ribosomal RNA", at positions 56 to 755 of the family's 1533-position model. The record is from RNAcentral.
UGCAGUCGAGCGGUACAUUUCUAGCUUGCUAGAAGAUGACGAGCGGCGGACGGGUGAGUAAUACUUGGGGAUCUGCCUGAUGGAGGGGGACAACCACUGGAAACGGUGGCUAAUACCGCAUGACGCCUACGGGCCAAAGUGUGGGACCUUCGGGCCACACGCCAUCAGAUGAACCCAAGCGAGAUUAGCUAGUUGGUGAGGUAACGGCUCACCAAGGCGACGAUCUCUAGCUGGUCUGAGAGGAUGAUCAGCCACACUGGGACUGAGACACGGCCCAGACUCCUACGGGAGGCAGCAGUGGGGAAUAUUGGACAAUGGGCGCAAGCCUGAUCCAGCCAUGCCGCGUGUGUGAAGAAGGCCUUAGGGUUGUAAAGCACUUUCAGUGGUGAGGAAGGCGUUGUAGUUAAUAGCUGCAACGAUUGACGUUAGCCACAGAAGAAGCACCGGCUAACUCCGUGCCAGCAGCCGCGGUAAUACGGAGGGUGCGAGCGUUAAUCGGAAUUACUGGGCGUAAAGCGCACGUAGGCGGCUUGUUAAGCAAGAUGUGAAAGCCCAGGGCUCAACCUUGGAAUUGCAUUUUGAACUGGCAAGCUAGAGUUUUGAAGAGGGUGGUAGAAUUUCCAGUGUAGCGGUGAAAUGCGUAGAUAUUGGAAGGAAUACCAGUGGCGAAGGCGGCCACCUGGUCAAAAACUGACGCUGAGGAGCG